Molecule: ribosomal RNA, 1971 nt
Filed under: Triticum aestivum (bread wheat)
Lineage: Eukaryota; Viridiplantae; Streptophyta; Magnoliopsida; Poales; Poaceae
Description: partial small subunit ribosomal RNA
Source: RNAcentral
AUGUUGCCAUGCUUCCUUGUACUCUUUCUCCUCUUCAUCAUCCCUAUGUUCAAGCCCUAUGCCAUUGGUGAAGAUGGCUUUAGAUACGGUGAUGGCAUCCCUUUGGGCAUGCUCCGGCUUGAUGGUGUGGCUUCUAUCACAAGCGGAGCACUUAUGCUGACCAACAGCGAUCCUCAGAGGAGUGGACGGGCUUUCUCUAGGCGCUCAUUUGGCUAUAUUACCUCUUUCUCGACAACCUUUGUGUUCCUCAUCAUCCCUCCGGAUAGCAAGGAUGGGGUGAGUGCGCAUGGGCUUGCCUUUGCACUUUCAUCCACGGUGGGAUUUGUGUUCGACGCCCACCCGGGUCCGUACUUGGGCCUGACCAACAUGAAGAGCCGUGGUAAUGGCACAAAUCAACUAUUUGCUGUUGAGCUUGAUACCAUCAAGAAUCCCCAAUUUUCUGAUAUUGAUGAAAACCAUGUUGGGAUUGAUGUAAACAGCAUGGUGUCUAUCAAUUCCCACACAGCUGGUUACUACGCAUCAAAUGGUAUGUUCUCUCCCUUGAAGCUUGCUAGUGGUCAACCAAUGCAAGUAUGGGUGGAUUAUGAUGGCACCUCACACAACCUUAGUGUCAGCUUAGCACCUUAUUUAGAGCAUAAGCCUCAACGUCCACUACUAUCAAGCACUGUCAAUCUUACAUCUGUGUUGGCAAACAACUCAUUCUAUGUUGGGUUUUCAUCUUCAACCGGCCUCCUUAAGUCUAGGCACUACAUUAUUGGUUGGAGUUUCAAUACAACUGGGAAGGCUCAACCACUGAACUACACAUCUUUGUCUCAAGUUAUAGAAGAUGUUAGGCCGAAACCACAGACUCGCUCGCAUAUCCCUAGGGCCAUUAUUGUACUGGUUGUCACAAUAUCAACAGUGAUUGUGCUUCUUAUUUGUGCUGUUCUUUAUGCUCUUAGAAAGAAGGCAAGGAAUAAUUUUGAGUGGGAAAUCGAGGUUGGUCCACCAUCUUUCACAUAUAAAGAGCUAGUCAGUGCAACAAAAGGAUUCAGUGAUGCAAUGCUACUAGGGGAGGGGGGAUUUGGAAAGGUGUAUAAAGGGAUGCUACAAACCUCGAAACAAAAUGUUGCAACCAAGCGAGUUUCACCAGAGUCCAGGCAGGGGAUGAAGGAGUUCAUAUCUGAGAUUAUGAUCCUUGGUCACCUCCGCCAUCGCAACCUUGUUCAGUUGCUCGGCUAUUCUCGUCAUCGAAAUGAGCUGCUUCUAGUUUAUGAUUACAUGCCAAAUGGUAGCCUUGAUAGAUUUUUGCACGGUCAAGAUAGGCAAGACCUAGACUGGGUUUACAGAUUUAACAUUAUCAAGGGCAUCGCAUCUGGUCUCUUCUACCUCCAUUAGGAUUGGGAGAAAGUUGUCAUCCAUCGAGACAUCAAGACAAGCAACGUGCUACUCGACGGCGAAAUGAAUGCAAGACUUGGUGAUUUCGGCCUUGCAAGGUUGCACAACCACGAAAAUGGAACAGGAGCCCACGUCACAAACAUUGCCGGCACACGAGGGUACAUUGCUCCUGAGCUGGCCAUGCUUGGGAGGGCAACCAAGGCGACUGAUGUGUUUGCGUUUGGUGUGUUCAUGUUGGAGGUUGCUUGCGGGAGGCAUCCGAUAGGAGUGAGCUAUUCUGGUGAGCAGCUGUUACUAAAAGAUUGUGUGCGCCAUGCAUGGGAACGCGAUGCAAUCCUUGCAACAGUAGACCCAAGACUGGAAGAUUAUAUAACGGAGGAGGUGGAGUUAGUAUUAAAGCUUGGCCUUCUAUGCUCACACUCGAUAUCAAGUGCUAGGCCAAGCAUGCGCCUAAUUAUGCAAUACCUUGGAAAGGAUGCGCUGCUCCCAGAUUUCCCACCGAGUUUUCCAGGAAGAGAUGAAGGCUUUGAUCAAUAUAUCAGUUCAUCCAACUCUGUAGCCACGACCAUGACUUAUCUUUCAGGAGGAAGAUGA